AGAGGUACCUCUCAGUGGUAGAGUGCCUGCUUAGCAUGCACGAGGUCUUGGGUUCAAUCCACAGUACCUCCA
RNAcentral lists this transfer RNA (72 nucleotides) under Camelus bactrianus (Bactrian camel). It matches the Rfam family "tRNA". From Rfam's summary of the family: Transfer RNA (tRNA) molecules are approximately 80 nucleotides in length. Their secondary structure includes four short double-helical elements and three loops (D, anti-codon, and T loops). Further hydrogen bonds mediate the characteristic L-shaped molecular structure. tRNAs have two regions of fundamental functional importance: the anti-codon, which is responsible for specific mRNA codon recognition, and the 3' end, to which the tRNAs corresponding amino acid is attached (by aminoacyl-tRNA synthetases). tRNAs cope with the degeneracy of the genetic code in two manners: having more than one tRNA (with a specific anti-codon) for a particular amino acid; and 'wobble' base-pairing, i.e. permitting non-standard base-pairing at the 3rd anti-codon position. The record is from Rfam by way of RNAcentral. RNAcentral also lists the same sequence under 2 other names. Lineage: Eukaryota; Metazoa; Chordata; Mammalia; Artiodactyla; Camelidae.